CGAUAUGGGUCCACCGUCAACUCCGACGGCACCCAACAGUCCGGAACAGCCUGAACGCUACUAUAAAAAUACACUCGGUAUCCCAGCACGAGCGGAACUGAAAACUAAACUACCUGUUGUAUCCGUCGCCUCGAUACUGUGACGAUACAAAAUUACAACGGCUCCUAGAGCUAAAUCAGGUAGUGUAAACAGGUGACAGGUCCAAAACGCUGGUUUUCUCCUAAGUCAAAUUCCAAGUCCAACAUGUAUACUUAUGGUUUGCCAAUCAUGUCCUCAAUGCUGCUUUCAUCCAUGAUACAAUCAACAAAAAUGAACUACAACAUGAUUUACAAAACUGAAAAUCAUACAU
Molecule: long non-coding RNA, 349 nt
Filed under: Ananas comosus (pineapple)
Lineage: Eukaryota; Viridiplantae; Streptophyta; Magnoliopsida; Poales; Bromeliaceae
Description: long non-coding RNA (ACOM_LNC010386)
Source: RNAcentral